This 503-nucleotide ribosomal RNA is filed under the name Aspergillus sp. N57. Its description in RNAcentral is "SSU rRNA". It matches the Rfam family "Eukaryotic small subunit ribosomal RNA", at positions 64 to 570 of the family's 1831-position model. The record is from RNAcentral. Lineage: Eukaryota; Fungi; Ascomycota; Eurotiomycetes; Eurotiales; Aspergillaceae.
UAUAAGCACUUUAUACUGUGAAACUGCGAAUGGCUCAUUAAAUCAGUUAUCGUUUAUUUGAUAGUACCUUACUACAUGGAUACCUGUGGUAAUUCUAGAGCUAAUACAUGCUAAAAACCUCGACUUCGGAAGGGGUGUAUUUAUUAGAUAAAAAACCAACGCCCUUCGGGGCUCCUUGGUGAAUCAUAAUAACUAAGCGAAUCGCAUGGCCUUGCGCCGGCGAUGGUUCAUUCAAAUUUCUGCCCUAUCAACUUUCGAUGGUAGGAUAGUGGCCUACCAUGGUGGCAACGGGUAACGGGGAAUUAGGGUUCGAUUCCGGAGAGGGAGCCUGAGAAACGGCUACCACAUCCAAGGAAGGCAGCAGGCGCGCAAAUUACCCAAUCCCGACACGGGGAGGUAGUGACAAUAAAUACUGAUACGGGGCUCUUUUGGGUCUCGUAAUUGGAAUGAGUACAAUCUAAAUCCCUUAACGAGGAACAAUUGGAGGGCAAGUCUGGGCACGG